Molecule: ribosomal RNA, 492 nt
Filed under: uncultured bacterium
Lineage: Bacteria
Description: partial 16S ribosomal RNA
Rfam family: Bacterial small subunit ribosomal RNA
Source: RNAcentral
AAUGAACGCUGGCGGCAGGCCUAACACAUGCAAGUCGAACGGCAGCACAGUGAGUGCUUGCGCUUACGGGUGUCGAGGGGGGGACGGUGCAGGAAGAUAUGGGAAUCUACUUUUUAGGGGGGGCUAACACAGGGAAACUUACGCGAAUACCGCAUAUGACGUACGUGUGAGAGCAGGGGAUCUUCGGGCCUUGUGCUAGGGUAUGAGCCUAUGUCGGAUUAGCUAGUUGGCGGGGUAAAGGGCCACCGAGGCGACAAUCCGUAGAUGGUAUGAGAGGAUGAUCAGCCACACUGGAACUGAGACACGGUCCAGACUCCUACGGAAGGCAGCAGUGGGGAAUAUUGGACAAUGGGCGCAAGCCUGAUCCAGCCAUACCGCGUGUGUGAAGAAGGCCUUAGGGUUGUAAAGCCCUUUAAGUGGGAAGGAAAGGCAGCAGGUUAAUACCCCGCUGUUAUGACGGUACCCAAAGAAUAAGCCCCGGCUAACUUCGUG